GUACCAUAACCGACACAGGUGGGUAAGUAGAGUAUACUAAGGGGCGCGAGAUAACUCUCUCUAAGGAACUCGGCAAAAUAACUCCGUAACUUCGGGAGAAGGAGUGCCUUAUUCUUAAGGUUGCAAUAACAAGAUCCAAGCAACUGUUUAUCAAAAACACAGGUCUCCGCUAAGUCGUAAGACGAUGUAUGGGGGCUGACGCCUGCCCAGUGCCAGAAGGUUAAAGAAGUCGGUUAGCAAUAGCAAAGCUGGUAACUGAAGCCCUGGUGAACGGCGGCCGUAACAAUAACGGUCCUAAGGUAGCGAAAUUCCUUGUCGGGUAAGUUCCGACCCGCACGAAAGGCGUAACGAUUUGGAUGCUGUCUCGGAGAGGGGCUCGGUGAAAUAGACUUGUCUGUGAAGAUGCGGACUACCUGCACCAGGACAGAAAGACCCUAUGAAGCUUUACUGUAACUUGAAAUUGAAAUUGGACUUUAUUCGCGCAGUAUAGGUGGGAGGCGUUGAUUAUAAUCUUGUGGGAUUAUUGGAGCCAUCAGUGAGAUACCACUCUUGUAAUGUUAGAUUUCUAACUUUGAAUCAUUAUCUGGUCAAAGGACAGUUUCAGGCGGGCAGUUUGACUGGGGCGGUCGCCUCCUAAACGGUAACGGAGGCGUACAAAGGUUUCCUCUGAACGGUUAGAAAUCGUAUCUAGAGUGUAAAGGCAUAAGGAAGCUUGACUGUGAGACCUACAAGUCGAGCAGGGACGAAAGUCGGUCUUAGUGAUCUGACGGUACUGAGUGGAAAGGCCGUCACUCAACGGAUAAAAGUUACUCUAAGGAUAACAGGCUGAUCUCCCCCAAGAGUUCACAUCGACGGGGAGGUUUGGCACCUCGAUGUCGGCUCAUCGCAUCCUGGGGCGGUAGUACGUCCCAAGGGUUGGGCUGUUCGCCCAUGAAAGCGGUACGCGAGCUGGGUUCAGAACGUCGUGAGACAGUUCGGUCCAUAUCCGGUGUAGGCGCUAGAAUAUUGAGAGGAGCCUUCUUUAGUACGAGAGGACCGAGAAGGACAUACCUCUGGUGUACCAGUUAUCGUGCCAACGGUAAACGCUGGGUAGCUAUGUAUGGAGUGGAUAACCGCUGAAAGCAUCUAAGUGGGAAGCCCACCUCAAGAUAAGUAUUCUCAUCACGUAAGUGAGUAAGGUCACGGUAAGACUAACCGUUUGAUAGGCAUUAAGUGUAAGUACAGUAAUGUAUGUGCUGAGAUGUCCUAAUAGACCGAGGACUUGA
This 1265-nucleotide ribosomal RNA is filed under the name metagenome. Its description in RNAcentral is "bacterial LSU rRNA". It matches the Rfam family "Bacterial large subunit ribosomal RNA", at positions 1644 to 2925 of the family's 2925-position model. The record is from RNAcentral.